UACGUAGGGUGCAAGCGUUACUCGGAUUUAUUGGGCGUAAAGCGCAUGUAGGCGGUUUUGUAAGUUUGAUGUGAAAGCCCUGGACUCAAUUCAGGAACUGCAUUGAAUACUGCAAGGCUAGAGUAUGAGAGAGGUAGGCGGAAUUCUUGGUGUAGAGGUGAAAUUCGUAGAUAUCAAGAGGAACAACAGAAGCGAAGGCGGCUUACUGGAUCAUAACUGACGCUGAGAUGCGACAGUGUGGGGAGCAAACAGG
RNAcentral lists this ribosomal RNA (253 nucleotides) under uncultured bacterium. RNAcentral's name for it is "partial 16S ribosomal RNA". It matches the Rfam family "Bacterial small subunit ribosomal RNA", at positions 524 to 776 of the family's 1533-position model. The record is from RNAcentral.